GAAGGAAAUUUGGGAUUGUGUGGAUUUCCGCUAGAAAAAUGUGAUAAUGGGGAGAGGCAAAAACCAACAGGAUCAAAAGAAGAUGAUUCCGAAUCUAAAAUUGGAUUUGGGUGGAAACCUGUAUUGGCAGGGUAUGGAUGUGGAGUAAUAUUUGGUGUUGUAAUGGGAUAUAUUGUGUUUAAAACAAGAAAACCUAUAUGGUUUGUGAGGAUGGUUGAAGG
This 221-nucleotide unclassified non-coding RNA is filed under the name Hevea brasiliensis (rubber tree). Lineage: Eukaryota; Viridiplantae; Streptophyta; Magnoliopsida; Malpighiales; Euphorbiaceae. The record is from RNAcentral.